GAUGAACGCUGGCGGCGUGCCUAAUACAUGCAAGUCGAGCGAACGGACGAGAAGCUUGCUUCUCUGAUGUUAGCGGCGGACGGGUGAGUAACACGUGGAUAACCUACCUAUAAGACUGGGAUAACUUCGGGAAACCGUAGCUAAUACCGGAUAAUAUUUUGAACCGCAUGGUUCAAAAGUGAAAGACGGUCUUGCUGUCACUUAUAGAUGGAUCCGCGCUGCAUUAGCUAGUUGGUAAGGUAACGGCUUACCAAGGCAACGAUGCAUAGCCGACCUGAGAGGGUGAUCGGCCACACUGGAGCUGAGCCACGGUCAAGACUACUACGGGAGGCAGCAGUAGGGAAUCUUCCGCAGUGGGCGAAAGCCUGACGGAGCAACGCCGCGUGAGUGAUGAAGGUCUUCGGAUCGUAAAACUCUGUUAUUAGGGAAGAACAUAUGUGUAAGUAACUGUGCACAGCUUGACGGUACCUAAUCAGAAAGCCACGGCUAACUACGUG
Molecule: ribosomal RNA, 497 nt
Filed under: uncultured bacterium
Lineage: Bacteria
Description: partial 16S ribosomal RNA
Rfam family: Bacterial small subunit ribosomal RNA
Source: RNAcentral